CCCCUAGAUGUUCUGGGCCGCACGCGCGCUACACUGAACAGUUCAACAAGUCUUAACCUUGGCCGAUAGGUCUGGGUAAUCUUUGAACGCUGUUCGUGAUUGGGAUAGACCUUUGCAAUUAUGGGUCUUCAACGAGGAAUUCCUAGUAAACGCAAGUCAUCAGCUUGCAUUGAUUACGUCCCUGCCCUUUGUACACACCGCCCGUCGCACCUACCGAUUGAAUGAUUUAGUGAGGACUUCGGACUGGGACCGAUGCGGCUUUCGGGCUGCGUCGGUAUUCUGGAAAGAUGUCCAAACUGUAUCAUUUAGAGGAAGUAAAAGUCGUAACA
This 329-nucleotide ribosomal RNA is filed under the name uncultured eukaryote. RNAcentral's name for it is "partial 18S ribosomal RNA". It matches the Rfam family "Eukaryotic small subunit ribosomal RNA", at positions 1470 to 1796 of the family's 1831-position model. The record is from RNAcentral.